GAUGAACGCUGGCGGCGUGCCUAAUACAUGCAAGUCGAGCGAACAGACGAGGAGCUUGCUCCUUUGACGUUAGCGGCGGACGGGUGAGUAACACGUAGGUAACCUACCUAUAAGACUGGGAUAACUUCGGGAAACCGGAGCUAAUACCGGAUAAUAUUUCGAACCGCAUGGUUCGAUAGUGAAAGAUGGCUUUGCUAUCACUUAUAGAUGGACCUGCGCCGUAUUAGCUAGUUGGUAAGGUAACGGCUUACCAAGGCAACGAUACGUAGCCGACCUGAGAGGGUGAUCGGCCACUCUGGAACUGAGACACGGUCCAGACUCCUACGGGAGGCAGCAGUAGGGAAUCUUCCGCAAUGGGCGAAAGCCUGACGGAGCAACGCCGCGUGAGUGAUGAAGGUCUUCGGAUCGUAAAACUCUGUUAUUAGGGAAGAACAAACGUGUAAGUAACUGUGCACGUCUUGACGGUACCUAAUCAGAAAGCCACGGCUAACUACGUG
This 497-nucleotide ribosomal RNA is filed under the name uncultured bacterium. Its description in RNAcentral is "partial 16S ribosomal RNA". It matches the Rfam family "Bacterial small subunit ribosomal RNA", at positions 28 to 507 of the family's 1533-position model. The record is from RNAcentral.